UUCACGCUUCAGAUUUUUCACUGUCCGCAGCAAUUCCACUUCAUAUUCCCAAUGCUCCUUUCCUAUUCUCAAUGCAAACCCUUCAAUUCUAUUUUAUCUUCUCCCAAUUCCUAAUUAUCAACCAUUAUUUUCUCAUUUCUCCAUCUUCAUCCUUCCCCUCUCUCUCUCUCUUUCCUCCAAAAAAAUUAGACCUCUCAUUCUACCUCCAUCGCCAUUCAACAUCGUUAGUUGUCGUCUCUCUCUACUUCAAAUUUGCCGAACCACGAGAAAUUCUUCAAUCAUAAAGGAAGCAUUUGAUUCUAUCUCUCAAUCAGAAACUCUUCUCUGUUGGAAAUGAAUGGCUAAGGAAAGGAAGCAGGAGAUUCUAGGGUUCAGAGAAGAUCUGAAAGAAUCUCAAGAUGCUUUACAUUGCGACCUCUUUCGUGAGAGCGCUUCUUGCAAGUUCUAUUUGUUCAAUGAUUUAGGGAAAUUAAAUCUAAAGCAUCAUGGAAACAAAUCUACCACCAUGUUCAAUGACGUACUUCGCUGUAGAUUUUCAAGUAAAGGUGGUUUGAAAACAUAAUGAGUGGUGACAACUCCGAUGGUGAAUUUGUCAGUAGGUUAUGCUAUCAAUUAUUGAGGAAAGGUGGUCUGAAAAUUAGGGUUUAUAAAAAUUUAUCAUUUGUUAAUAAUCCCCAAAAUUGAAAUUUUUUAAUCAAAUUCAUUCUCUCUGUUGUUAAAUUUAAGGUCUUUUGUUUUUGGAAUGAUGUGGUGAUUUUUUGGAAGGUCUUUAUGUAUAAAGGUCUUAAACUCUUUAGUUUUAUGAGUUACUAUCUAUUGUUUCAGCUUGGAUACGAACUCAAAGACGGCCAAGUUAUUUUUAAAUUAAUAUAGAAUACGCUAUUUCUAUAUUUACAAAAUAUACUUUAAGUAAUUUUUCGAUCUCAUUGUUUGGUGCGGCGCUAUUGCAGCUGCAACAACUUCUUUUUUGUAUACCUGUAUUAAAUUUUUGAUGGUUGAAAUUGCAUGACUAUUAUUGUUUCACUUGAAAUUGUUUGUUAUACUAUCUUUUAUCACAUUUCAUGAAACAGGACUACAUGGGUCUUCAACACCUCUGUCAUGUAAACAAGUCAACACAUAGAUUGUCUUGCAAAUAUUGAUUUUUUAAAUGUCAUUGUUUUUUAGUGCCAGGCGAACAAAUUGCGCUACCUUCUGCUAAGGUGGCUACUACAGUCUUGACAAGGUGAGUUUUUUGAUAUUGCAACCAUGGAGCAUACAAAUUUAAGGGCUUUAUCUUUUUUUUGGUAUAGACUAACAUAAUUUUCUAUAGGUGUUGUAAUGUAUUACAAAAUAGUUCAGUCAUUAUAAAGUUGAUUCCUACUAUUGGCAUUAUCAUUUUUGUAGUACGGGGUGUUGGUCCAUUAACGUUUGCAGUAUAAGCUAAUAUGUUAAUUCAUCGGGUAUGCUAAUACUAGAUUCUUCCUUACCGUUGUCGUCUCCACCUAUUUAUUUUUGACAUAUGCUGACUUUUUUCUUAGGAAAAAUGCAGAUUAUUUUCAUUUGGAACUUUGUUACCACAUGACUUUGGCAAACAAUUUACUAGGUUCUUCCGCCUAUGUAACUGACUUUCCUAGCUCAUGUAACCGUACAUCAGACAUUACAUGGCUUUGAAGGAAUGUGAAUUAACAGAAGGAGUAUGCUCGAUUCAAAUUGUGUAUGAUCGAAAUAGGCAACCUGUGUGGAUCUAUAAAACAUGGUGGUAAUGGAGGAGACAUCAUGCAUAGGAGUUGUGCAGACCGUACACAAUUUAGGCAAAAAGGUUUUAUUGUUGAUAAAGCAACUAAUAGAUUUCAUAAUGCUUAUGGGCAAAUGGCAGUGAUAUGAAGGAUCGGACUCAAGAGCUUCGUCACAUCUCUAAAGCUAGAUGGAAAGCAAAGGAAGUAUGAUUGUUAAUUUGUAAUGUUUAUCUCUUUUAAAUGAUCAUCUUUUGAUAUGUGUUCUAUUUGACAUGUGAGUUUUAAUGCACUAUUACUGUCAAAAUAUUCAACCUUUUUGAAACUUAUCUCUAAUGCAAAAUCUGAACAAUUGUUGAUACUCAAGAACCUCAAAACACUUGGAUAUGCAGGUAAUUACAUUAUCAACAUGUUCCUUCAAAGUAUUUUAAAAAACUUUGUUGAACUGAACCACUAUCAAUACUUUCUCCUUGAUUUGUGAAGAAUAAAUGGUGGUCUAGCUUUGAUUGACAAUAUAGUGAGUCAUCUUUAUUUGACAAUCAAUUGCUUAUCAGAAUGAGUUGGAAAUUCUGAUGGAAACAUGCAUAGUAAAGGAAGAGAAAAUUGAAGCUAAAAAGAUUAUCAAUAUGCUUGAUUAAUGCUUUAAAGAGAAAGAAACAAAAGGAGAAAAAACUGUUGUAUAUGCCCGUUCAUGAUUGCAUGACAAUUCUUCCCGACUCAUUCUAAA
This is a long non-coding RNA of Vicia villosa (hairy vetch), 2439 nucleotides long. RefSeq lists it as uncharacterized. The transcript has 6 exons. The record is from RefSeq and is a predicted model, not a curated record. Lineage: Eukaryota; Viridiplantae; Streptophyta; Magnoliopsida; Fabales; Fabaceae.